UACUGCGCCGUGUGUGGUAGCGGAAACGCCCACAAAGCCUCGCUUAUGGAGCUUUAGCAACACGUAGCGCAGUUUU
RNAcentral lists this non-coding RNA (76 nucleotides) under unclassified sequences. The record is from RNAcentral.